Molecule: transfer RNA, 74 nt
Filed under: Gordonia phage Sixama
Lineage: Duplodnaviria; Heunggongvirae; Uroviricota; Caudoviricetes
Description: tRNA-Asn
Rfam family: tRNA
About the family: Transfer RNA (tRNA) molecules are approximately 80 nucleotides in length. Their secondary structure includes four short double-helical elements and three loops (D, anti-codon, and T loops).
Source: RNAcentral
UGGUACGUAGCUUAACUGGCAAAGCGCCUGGUUGUUACCCAGGACGAUGGAGGUUCGAUUCCUCUCGUACCAGC